RNAcentral lists this ribosomal RNA (180 nucleotides) under uncultured Glomeromycotina. Its description in RNAcentral is "partial small subunit ribosomal RNA". The stretch from base 51 to 180 matches the Rfam family "Eukaryotic small subunit ribosomal RNA", at positions 696 to 828 of the family's 1831-position model. Lineage: Eukaryota; Fungi; Glomeromycota. The record is from RNAcentral.
GCCCUGGCUAUGUGGUCUUGCCGCAAGGUAAGCACUGCUUUGGCUGGGGCUUUCUUUCUGGCGAACUAUUGUGCCCUUUACUGGGUGUGAUAGGGAACCAGGACUUUUACUUUGAAAAAAUUAGAGUGUUCAAAGCAGGCAUAUGCUUGAAUACAUUAGCAUGGAAUAAUAGAAUAGGAC